AGUGCUUGGAAGAUCACUCUGUUACUGUACAUGGAGCUAUGGGCUCCAGGGUCAUGGCAGGUCAGGUUCCCAAUUCCCACCAAGGAUCCCUUGAUUAGAAAAAUAGUCCUGCUAAGAGAUCAUUUAAAUUUCCUCCAGCACUUCUGGAGUCUACAAUUUCACACAAAACAAACCUGAGCUAGGGUGUAGGUCUUUCAAACCACGUUACUGAAACUGCGUACAGUCACCAAAUGAUAAAAAACUUUAAAAAUGGUGACACUCUAGUGCCCUCUUGGUGGGAGUUUACCCUAUGCUGGCAGUCGUGUCCUGUACCUAUCCCACUCAAUGCCACAGUUGCUCAGUUGGAUUCCCUCUGUGUGCUUGCACAGACCCAGGGAUGUGUUGGUUGGCAGGAACUGAUGGAAAGGGUGUUGCUGCCUGCUCAAAACAUGUCCUUGUCCAGCCCUUGGUCAAGGACAGCUCUAGGUGUUUUAGACAUGUGCCACAGUCUUUUUUUUUCUUCAUCUCUCUCCCUCUUUUGUCUUGGCUGGUCUUGUAAAGGUUUUCAGGAACUUCAUGAGCACUCAGACCCACAAACACAUAGUUUCCUGUACCACACAGUUCAUUUUACGUAGAGGUUUAUCCAAGAGAUGUUUGCAUGAACAGCCAAAAUAGUGAUAAUGCACCUUGUUACUAAAUAUGUAUGAAUGGCUGCUCAGGUAUGCAGGAGAGAAUGGAAACUCUCACAUUUGGACCUCCAGGGCUGUUAAAGUGACCUCUUAAUAGACUGGUAGGGUCUAUAAAUAUAAUUCAUUCAUUUUAUCAGCUUAUUUGUUAGAGCUUGAAUUUCUUCUGAUAUAUUUGCCUACUCCCAAUUUCAAAGGUCAGUUUGGCUGGUAUGAAUCGUAUUCAUGAUUUACAGAAUUACACUCUGUAAUGCUGCCAAGGAAACAAGCUGAAACACAGUAAAACAGUAAAAAGUAGUAAAUAGUAAAAGCCCUAGGAAUAACAUUCACUCUCUACCAGGUAUCCUGAGGGUUGGCUCUUAUGCUGGAGGAAGAAACCACUUCUAUUGCUGCCACGAGUAGAAAGGACAUUCAAAUUCUGUUUGCAACUGGCUAUUUCCAAAUGAUGGAUCUAUCAGUGUUUACCUUAAAAUUAAAAGAUGUAACUGCCUGGAAUUUCAGCACUAGAUAUGAAAGCUGUAUAGCAAACCUGCUCCUUUGGAUAUGAAGUUUAAUAGGUUACAAAGGAGUGUUUCAUUAGCUAAAUAUGGAGAGCCUGCCUGCACCCCAUGGCUGUCUGCCUCUGCCCCACAGCUGCCUGCCUGCCUGCUGGGCACCCCCCAGCCUUGUGCACUCUGCAUGCCUGGCUGCCUGCAGAUACCUUCCUCAUGAGUGUGAAGUGCCAGAAAAAUGUUCCUCAGAGAGGUUUUUUGUUCCUAAUGGCCUUCUCAGACAGGCCACAGUGGAAUUAGUGAUUUAAUUGGACAGCUUGCU
Molecule: long non-coding RNA, 1478 nt
Organism: Prinia subflava (tawny-flanked prinia)
Lineage: Eukaryota; Metazoa; Chordata; Aves; Passeriformes; Cisticolidae
Exons: 4
Source: RefSeq, a predicted model, not a curated record